AGUGUACCCGCGGCAAGACGGAAAGACCCCGUGAACCUUUACUAUAGCUUGACACUGAACAUUGAGCCUUGAUGUGUAGGAUAGGUGGGAGGCUUUGAAGCGUGGACGCCAGUCUGCGUGGAGCCGACCUUGAAAUACCACCCUUUAAUGUUUGAUGUUCUAACGUGGACCCGUUACCCGGGUUGCGGACAGUGUCUGGUGGGUAGUUUGACUGGGGC
RNAcentral lists this ribosomal RNA (218 nucleotides) under Salmonella enterica subsp. enterica serovar Infantis. RNAcentral's name for it is "partial 23S ribosomal RNA". It matches the Rfam family "Bacterial large subunit ribosomal RNA", at positions 2063 to 2280 of the family's 2925-position model. The record is from RNAcentral. Lineage: Bacteria; Pseudomonadati; Pseudomonadota; Gammaproteobacteria; Enterobacterales; Enterobacteriaceae.